RNAcentral lists this ribosomal RNA (446 nucleotides) under uncultured bacterium. Its description in RNAcentral is "partial 16S ribosomal RNA". It matches the Rfam family "Bacterial small subunit ribosomal RNA", at positions 338 to 795 of the family's 1533-position model. The record is from RNAcentral.
CCUACGGGCGGCAGCAGUCGAGAAUCAUUCACAAUGGGGGAAACCCUGAUGGUGCGACGCCGCGUGGGGGAAUGAAGGUCUUCGGAUUGUAAACACUUGUCAUGUGGGAGCAAAUUAAAAAGAUAGUACCACAAGAGGAAGAGACGGCUAACUCUGUGCCAGCAGCCGCGGUAAUACAGAGGUCUCAAGCGUUGUUCGGAAUCACUGGGCGUAAGGCGUGCGUAGGCUGUUUCGUAAGUCGUGUGUGAAAGGCGCGGGCUUAACCCGCGGACGGCACAUGAUACUGCGAGACUAGAGUAAUGGAGGGGGAACCGGAAUUCUCGGUGUAGCAGUGAAAUGCGUAGAUAUGGAGAGGAACACUCGUGGCGAAGGCGGGUUCCUGGACAUUAACUGACGCUGAGGCACGAAGGCCAGGGGAGCGAAAGGGAUUAGAUACCCCGGUAGUC